CCUACGGGAGGCUGCAGUGGGGAAUAUUGGGCAAUGGAGGCAACUCUGACCCAGCAACGCCGCGUGAAUGAUGAAGGUCUUCGGAUUGUAAAGUUCUGUGAUGGGGGAUGAACACAAUGACGGUACCCCACUAGCAAGCCACGGCUAACUACGUGCCAGCAGCCGCGGUACUACGUAGGUGGCAAGCGUUAUCCGGAAUGACUGGGCGUAAAGGGUGCGUAGGUGGUUUAGUAAGUUGGCGGUGUAAGUCCGGGGCUCAACCUCGGCGCUACCGCCAAAACUAUUAGACUAGAGUGCAGGAGGGGUAAGUGGAAUUCCUAGUGUAGCGGUGGAAUGCGUAGAUAUUAGGAGGAACAUCAGGGGCGAAGGCGACUUACUGGACUGUAACUGACACUGAGGCACGAAAGCGUGGGGAGCAAACAGGAUUAGAUACCCGUGUAGUC
Molecule: ribosomal RNA, 443 nt
Filed under: uncultured bacterium
Lineage: Bacteria
Description: partial 16S ribosomal RNA
Rfam family: Bacterial small subunit ribosomal RNA
Source: RNAcentral